Molecule: transfer RNA, 73 nt
Filed under: Ailuropoda melanoleuca (giant panda)
Lineage: Eukaryota; Metazoa; Chordata; Mammalia; Carnivora; Ursidae
Rfam family: tRNA
About the family: Transfer RNA (tRNA) molecules are approximately 80 nucleotides in length. Their secondary structure includes four short double-helical elements and three loops (D, anti-codon, and T loops). Further hydrogen bonds mediate the characteristic L-shaped molecular structure. tRNAs have two regions of fundamental functional importance: the anti-codon, which is responsible for specific mRNA codon recognition, and the 3' end, to which the tRNAs corresponding amino acid is attached (by aminoacyl-tRNA synthetases). tRNAs cope with the degeneracy of the genetic code in two manners: having more than one tRNA (with a specific anti-codon) for a particular amino acid; and 'wobble' base-pairing, i.e. permitting non-standard base-pairing at the 3rd anti-codon position.
Source: Rfam by way of RNAcentral
ACCUGGCUAGCUCAGUUGGUAGAGCAUGUGACUCUUGAUUGCAAGGUUGUGAGUUCAAGCCCCCCAGCGGGUG